UACGUAGGGUGCAAGCGUUAAUCGGAAUUACUGGGCGUAAAGCGUGCGCAGGCGGUUUUGUAAGUCUGUGGUGAAAUCCCCGGGCUCAACCUGGGAAUUGCGAUGGAGACUGCAAGGCUAGAAUCUGGCAGAGGGGGGUAGAAUUCCACGUGUAGCAGUGAAAUGCGUAGAGAUGUGGAGGAACACCGAUGGCGAAGGCAGCCCCCUGGGUCAAGAUUGACGCUCAUGCACGAAAGCGUGGGGAGCAAACAGG
Molecule: ribosomal RNA, 253 nt
Filed under: uncultured bacterium
Lineage: Bacteria
Description: partial 16S ribosomal RNA
Rfam family: Bacterial small subunit ribosomal RNA
Source: RNAcentral